GACGGACACGCCGCGUGAGUGAAGAAGGUUUUCGGAUCGUAAAACUCUGUUGUUAGGGAAGAACAAGUGGUUCGAAUAGGGCGGCGCCUUGACGGUACCUAACCAGAAAGCCACGGCUAACUACGUGCCAGCAGCCGCGGUAAUACGUAGGGGGCAAGCGUUGUCCGGAAUUAUUGGGCGUAAAGCGCGCGCAGGCGGUUCUUUAAGUCUGAUGUGAAAUCUUACGGCUCAACCGUAAACGUGCAUUGGAAACUGGGGAACUUGAGUGCAGAAGAGGAGAGUGGAAUUCCACGUGUAGCGGUGAAAUGCGUAGAGAUGUGGAGGAACACCAGUGGCGAAGGCGACUCUCUGGUCUGUAACUGACGCUGAGGAGCGAAAGCGUGGGGAGCGAACAGGAUUAGAUACCCUGGUAGUCCACGCCGUAAACGAUGAGUGCUAGGUGUUAGGGGGUUUCCGCCCCUUAGUGCUGAAGUUAACGCAUUAAGCACUCCGCCUGGGGAGUACGGGCGCAAGGCUGAAACUCAAAAGAAUUGACGGGGGCCCGCACAAGCGGUGGAGCAUGUGG
Molecule: ribosomal RNA, 565 nt
Filed under: uncultured bacterium
Lineage: Bacteria
Description: bacterial SSU rRNA
Rfam family: Bacterial small subunit ribosomal RNA
Source: RNAcentral